UGGGGAAUAUUGGACAAUGGGCGAAAGCCUGAUCCAGCCAUGCCGCGUGUGUGAAGAAGGUCUUCGGAUUGUAAAGCACUUUAAGUUGGGAGGAAGGGCAGUAAGCGAAUACCUUGCUGUUUUGACGUUACCGACAGAAUAAGCACCGGCUAACUCUGUGCCAGCAGCCGCGGUAAUACAGAGGGUGCAAGCGUUAAUCGGAAUUACUGGGCGUAAAGCGCGCGUAGGUGGUUCGUUAAGUUGAAUGUGAAAGCCCCGGGCUCAACCUGGGAACUGCAUCCAAAGCUGGCGAGCUAGAGGAGGGCAGAGGGUGGUGGAAUUUCCUGUGUAGCGGUGAAAUGCGUAGAUAUAGGAAGGAACACCAGUGGCGAAGGCGACCACCUGGGCUCAUACUGACACUGAGGUGCGAAAGCGUGGGGAGCAAACAGG
RNAcentral lists this ribosomal RNA (429 nucleotides) under Pseudomonadota bacterium. RNAcentral describes it as "Proteobacteria bacterium partial 16S ribosomal RNA". It matches the Rfam family "Bacterial small subunit ribosomal RNA", at positions 355 to 776 of the family's 1533-position model. The record is from RNAcentral. Lineage: Bacteria; Pseudomonadati; Pseudomonadota.